AGCUGGUCUGAGUGCAGUGGUGUUUACAACUAAUUGAUCACAACCAGUUACAGAUUUCUUUGUUCCUUUUCCAUUCCCACCGCUUCACUUGACUAACCUAAA
This 102-nucleotide Y RNA is filed under the name Colobus angolensis palliatus. RNAcentral describes it as "Y RNA (ENSCANG00000018407.1)". It matches the Rfam family "Y RNA". Rfam says of the family: Y RNAs are components of the Ro ribonucleoprotein particle (Ro RNP), in association with Ro60 and La proteins. The Y RNAs and Ro60 and La proteins are well conserved, but the function of the Ro RNP is not known. Lineage: Eukaryota; Metazoa; Chordata; Mammalia; Primates; Cercopithecidae. The record is from Rfam by way of RNAcentral.